GUGAGGAAUUUUCCGCAAUGGGCGAAAGCCUGACGGAGCAAUGCCGCGUGAAGGAUGAAGGCCUAUGGGUUGUAAACUUCUUUUCUCAGAAAAGAAUUAUGACGGUAUCUGAGGAAUAAGCAUCGGCUAACUCUGUGCCAGCAGCCGCGGUAAGACAGAGGAUGCAAGCGUUAUCCGGAAUGAUUGGGCGUAAAGCGUCUGUAGGUUGUUUAAAAAGUAUUCUGUCAAAGAUUAGGGCUUAACCCUAGAUAGGCAGAAUAAACUUUUAAGCUAGAGUGUGGUAGAGGCAGAGGGAAUUCCCGGUGGAGCGGUAAAAUGCGUAGAUAUCAGGAGGAACACCAAAGGCGAAGGCACUCUGCUGGGCCAAUACUAACACUGAGAGACGAAAGCGAGGGGAGCAAAUGGGAUUAGAAACCCUGGUAGUCC
Molecule: ribosomal RNA, 426 nt
Filed under: uncultured bacterium
Lineage: Bacteria
Description: partial 16S ribosomal RNA
Rfam family: Bacterial small subunit ribosomal RNA
Source: RNAcentral